Molecule: long non-coding RNA, 1047 nt
Filed under: Bemisia tabaci
Lineage: Eukaryota; Metazoa; Arthropoda; Insecta; Hemiptera; Aleyrodidae
Description: lncRNA ENSSWEETPG007709
Source: RNAcentral
UGUGGAACCUAUCCAUGGUUGGAGCUGCACCUUACAGAGUGCAGGUGCUAUGAUAGCCGGCAUGAGUUUGGGGUCUUGAGAAUUGUGAGACAGAUUCCUCAUAAGCGUGCCGAUAUUAUUCCGGUGGAUAAGUGCGCGGCUGCGUUAGUUGCACUUCCGUGGUACAUUCAUACAGCAAGGCUCAAGAAAGAAGCAAUUACCCCAAUAUUCAAUCAUGUCACCGACAGGAACCCUCAGACCUGGGAUGUGCUAAUGGAUAUUGGUUUACAUAUGCACUACAAUGAUCAUCUUUCAUCAUCAAAACAAGUGUGGGCCGUUACCUUUUCGAACGAACCCAAUGAAUUUCUUUACAAUGUGAAAUUCUUCCUGUACCAUGUUCUACCUCUCCCACUGUUUGUGCUGGCCGAAAGCUGAAUGGAAAUCCCCCAAGGUUUGUGUCAUCUUACACUAUCUUGCAUAUUCUACCGAAAAUUCAUAAAAUGAAGGCGUUAUGUAUUUUUGAGAACUAUCGAACUAGAAGAAAAAUUGUUUCAAAAUCUUCAUGAAUAUGAGUACCUAUUCCACUAUUUGAAAUUAAUAAUGUCGAAAAUUCAGUUUACAAGAGGAACGAAUUAUUUACACCAAACAAAGGAAACAAAUGGACCGGCUCAGCGACUAUUUAAGUAAUAGAAGCAGCGAAGCUUAAUUGAGAGGCUUGAAGAACAAGGCGCAUAAAGUGCAGUUUUUGCUAUUUUGAGAAAUACGUGUUUGAAGUUUCGAAAUUACACGGAUCCUUAUGGGGGAAAGAAAGCUCAAACUGGCUUUUUGAUGCUUAAAAAUUGGAAUUCGAAAGCGAAUUUUUCACAGAAUAUACUUUCAAACUAGUUUUACUCGUAAUUGAGUUCACGAGUAUCUCAAUUGGACGUAUUCUAUCAAACGGAACUAUGUGCAUUGUGACGUGAGCCCUGUAUUGCAUACAUUCUUAUGGGUCUCAGGGCUCAUGUCUUAAUGCACAUAGUUCCGUUUGACAGAAAUACGUCCAAUUAUUUCAAAAACUUUUCCUCCAAG